CCUUGUGGAGGAGGACGCCGAAGGUGGGGCUAAUGACUGGGGUGAAGUCGUAACAAGGUAGCCGUACCGGAAGGUGCGGCUGGAUCACCUCCUAACAGGGAGACAACAAAAUGUUUAAUAUUAUUAUUUUGUCACCUUAGGUCGAUCGGUAUCUCACGUUUUUAAUUUAUUAAGAAUUUCAUUUCCUAAGUUUUUCUAGGUCACACCCAUUAUUUUUCCUGGGCCAUUAGCUCAGGUGGUUAGAGCGCACCCCUGAUAAGGGUGAGGUCCCUGGUUCAAGUCCAGGAUGGCCCAUAUCUCUAUGUUGGGGGUAUAGCUCAGUUGGUAGAGCGCCUGCUUUGCAAGCAGGAUGUCAGCGGUUCGAGUCCGCUUACCUCCACUGAUUACCACCUCUUCCAUAACUGGUAGAAAGGAAAUGUUUUGAGUUGUGAUCAAAUUCUGAAAGAAUCUAGCUUCCUAAUGAAAUCAUUAAGAUGCUGGACUCAUUGAAUUAAUUUCAUUGUUUUCAGAGAACCUUGACAACUGCAUAGAUUUUUUUUAAAGACAAUAAGCAUCUUUUAAUGAUGCAGAUUUAUUAUUUGUGCGAAUGCAUUAAUAACAAUUCUAUUAAGCUGAUGCUUCAAUUUUUGAAGUUAUUGGUCAAGCUACAAAGGGCUCACGGAGGAUACCUAGGCACACAGAGGC
Molecule: unclassified non-coding RNA, 684 nt
Filed under: uncultured Prochlorococcus sp.
Lineage: Bacteria; Bacillati; Cyanobacteriota; Cyanophyceae; Synechococcales; Prochlorococcaceae
Description: partial may contain 16S ribosomal RNA, 16S-23S ribosomal RNA intergenic spacer, and 23S ribosomal RNA
Rfam family: Bacterial small subunit ribosomal RNA (bases 1-95)
Source: RNAcentral